This 376-nucleotide long non-coding RNA is filed under the name Pongo abelii (Sumatran orangutan). RNAcentral's name for it is "lincRNA". The record is from RNAcentral. Lineage: Eukaryota; Metazoa; Chordata; Mammalia; Primates; Hominidae.
UGUGUUGCUCUGUUACCCAGGCUGGAGCGCAGUGGCAAGAUCAUAGCUCACUGCAGCCUCAGUCUUCUGGGCUCAAGUGGAUCCUCCUGCUUCAGCCUCCAAAGUAGCUGGGACUACAGGAUAAAGUCGCCAGGACUUCACUUUGUGCUACUGCAAGUGCAUCAAAACCAAUAUUGUGUCUUUAGCAUUCGAAUCCAUGAACUUCUGAAAGAGAAACCAAAAAGCCGUGUCAGGUAUGGUUGGAGCCCGCAUUUUCAUUUGGGAGCAGAAGCAUGUCACAUAGUCUUCUAAAAAGAGAAAUUUUGCUUAAAAAUGACACAACAAAAUAAAAUGCUGACUAAGUCAUGGUAAGAAGUAGUCUUUGAAUUUGAAUAAA